GACGAACGCUGGCGGCGUGCUUAACACAUGCAAGUCGAACGCUGAAGCUCAGCUUUUGUUGGGCGGAUGAGUGGCGAACGGGUGAGUAACACGUGAGUAACCUGCCUCCUUCUUUGGGCUAACGCCCGGAAACGGGUGCUAAUACUGGAUAUUCACUGGUAUUCGCAUGGGGGUUGGUGGAAAGGGUUUUUCUGGUGGGGGAUGGGCUCGCGGCCUAUCGGCUUGUUGGUGGGGUGAUGGCCUACCAAGGCUUUGCCGGGUAGCCGGCCUGAGAGUGUGACCGGUCACAUUGGGACUGCGAUCCGGCCCAGACUCAGACGGGAGGCAGCAGUGGGGAAGAGUGCACAAUGGGGGCAAGCCUGAUGCAGCGACGCCGCGGGAGGAAUGGAGGCGUGCGGGUUGUGAACCUCUUUCGCUCAUGGUCAAGCCGCAACAAUGGUUGUGGUGAGGGUAGUGGGUAAAGAAGCGCCGGCUAACUACGUG
This 483-nucleotide ribosomal RNA is filed under the name uncultured bacterium. RNAcentral describes it as "partial 16S ribosomal RNA". It matches the Rfam family "Bacterial small subunit ribosomal RNA", at positions 28 to 507 of the family's 1533-position model. The record is from RNAcentral.